GGUGAGUGUGCAGGCUCUGAUGAUUACCCACUCCUCCUCCCCAGGUCAAGCUUGCAUGAGGCCCUGGGUUUCAUCCCCAGCACCACUUGUGAGCUGCCAUGUGGGUGCUGGGAAUUGAACCCGGGUCCUCUAGAAGAGCAGUCAGUGCUUUUAACCCCGGAGCAUCUCUCCAGCCCCUUAUUUGUUUUUUUUUUUUUUUUUUUUUUUGGUUUUUCGAGACAGGGUUUCUCUGUGCAGCUUUGCGCCUUUCCUGGGACUCACUUGGUAGCCCAGGCUGGCCUCGAACUCACAGAGAUCCGCCUGGCUCUGCCUUAUUUGGUUUUUGAGAUGGGGUUUCUCUGGGUAGCUUUAGUUGUCCUGGAACUCGCUUGGGCUGGCCUCGAACUCAGAGAUCUCCCUGCCUCUGCUUCUGGAGUGCUGGAAUUAAAGGUGUGCACCACCCCAUCCAGCUUAUGAAUCUUUCUUUAAAAAAAGACAGGGCUGUUACACAGAGAAACCCUGUGUCAAAAAAAAAAAACAACAAAAAUGGAAAAAGAAGAAAAGGGGGAG
Molecule: long non-coding RNA, 549 nt
Organism: Peromyscus californicus insignis
Lineage: Eukaryota; Metazoa; Chordata; Mammalia; Rodentia; Cricetidae
Exons: 2
Source: RefSeq, a predicted model, not a curated record